RNAcentral lists this long non-coding RNA (1046 nucleotides) under Ficedula albicollis (Collared flycatcher). Its description in RNAcentral is "lncRNA (ENSFALG00000029015.1)". The record is from RNAcentral. Lineage: Eukaryota; Metazoa; Chordata; Aves; Passeriformes; Muscicapidae.
CAUAAUAUCUUUUUAAUCAAAAAGCAAUAUUUUUACAUAAGUGGAACAAAUGAACUUAAAAAUAUUUGCCACUUACAGUUUUGCGAAAACCACAGUAGGCUACUAAAGCAAUUAACCCAAAUCUAAAUUAGUUCCAUUUGAAAUGACAGAACCUCAGCCUAGUUUUGCCAGCAACAAACCUAGUGAAAUGAAUGAAAUUUCACAAAACUAAAAUAUGAAUAAUUUCUACAAUAUGAAACCAUUAUUUCAUCAGACUAAAGCUGUCAUUUUGUAUUUUAUGAUUAAAUAUCUGGCGCACGAGUAACACAAACAUCUUACUGAAGAGUAGGUCUCCCCACUUCAGCUCAUUUAGCAGGCAAGUGUCAAGAACUAUUACAGUAUUGCCUUAGAGGCAGUAAGUGAAAUUCUUGGAAGUAGCUUAUGACAUUUCUUAAAGCUUUUUUUCAAAGGUGGAAAUAAUCAAAGCAGACAUCACACAGAUUUUAGUUGCUGUAGUUGAGAAAGUCAACAUUUUCAAUGGAAGUUGUGCUAUCCCUUGUCCAAGUUCUCCCCAUCCUGUAUCUCAGAAAAUAUGCAUUUGUACACACUAAAAACAGAAGGUAAAACAGCCUGUUUUUUCUCAGUCUUUUCAUGUGAGACAAAAAUAAGAGGACAUAUGUGAUUCUAAAGCACCAUCCUUACACUUCACGUCUAACUCUGCAAGAGAUUUCAGGCUGCAAUGUGUAAAUCAUUACUAUAUGCUCUAAAUAGUACUUUCUAUUUAAUCAGGAGAGAAGAAAAAUCCCCUCUAGAAUAACAAUAAAUAACUACAGUUUUCUUUUAAAUGAAAUGAUGUAAUUUAUAUCUGACCUGAGUUUCAGUCUUUUCCUAGUGGGAAAUAUAAAUUCAGCACUUGGAUACAUAAUCCUACAGCUCUCAGAAGAAGCCGACUCCACCGCGAACACUUUACAUGAUUUAUAGCUCUCCUCCAGAUUCAGAUGACAAGUCUCGGCGGAGCAGGAAGAACUGGAGGAAGAAGAUGUUUCUGUCAGAAUACUGGACUUACC